CUCAAUGGCUUGUUGGUUGGAAACCCAAGCUGAACAUAAUUUCCCCUAAAGCAGAAAUCUUUAUAGAUUAAACCGACAAGGCAACAACUUUAGUAAUCUCCCCCGACAAUUCUUUAAAUCCAACUAGUCUUUACGAAACUUUCAGAUACAUACCCUUAUCCCAAUGGGAUCAAAUGGCAACCUCGACACAAUUGCUACUUUGUAACAAUAAUUAAGGAAACUGAUGAAACAAGAAACCCCUUAGAAUUCAUGCGAGGACAGCGUGAAACCCAAUCAAAAACGGUUCCUCAACCCCUAGAAAAGAGGGAGCACCAAUAUUUUGAAUGGAAAUUUCAAUCAUGUGUCUCCCAGAUUUCUGGGCUUUUCAUCAGACCUUGUAGAUUCACCGCAACAAAUCGAAGGGGGCAAAUCGAGAUCAUAUCACAGAAUGAUGAUCAAAUACCCAACCACCGAACAUCUUUUCAAAUCCGAAAGGCAACCUUGAUGUUACUUUGUAACAUAAUCAUGGGGUUGAUGAAAACCCAAUUUCAAAAAUGGUUCCUCAACCCCAUGAAUAGAGGGAGCACCAAUAUUUCGAAUUGAGAUUUCACAAAUGCUACCGAGACAAAUCGAAGGGGCUAAUCGAGAUCCUAUCACAGAAUGAUGAUCAAAUAUCAAACCAUCAAACAUCUGAAACCCACACCGCCGUGAAUCUAUCUGAAAUUGAAUCAAGGAAAACCAGAAUCAAAACCCUAGAUGUGAAAUUGAAGAGAAUAAAUGAUCGUUAUUCAAUUGAAAAGACGAAUAACAAAACUGAAAAGAAUCAAACGGAAGAGAAAAGGAAGGGGCAAGCUUGAGAAUUUUACCUUGUGGUGGUGAAGUGGAGGGGCAGCGAACACGGCGGUGGUUGGCCGCACCGGAGCGGCUUUAGAGAACCCAAUCCAUUUUGAAUUUCAAAAUUUUUGAGAGAGAGAGAGAGUGAGCCAAGCGUUAGAAAUUCAAAAUUGGAUGUGGGAUAGAGAGAAAGGAACUGGACCCCUUUAUUUAUUGGCUUCUAACAACGGCUAAUUACCGGGAAAAAAAAAAAGAAAGCUUCAAGGGUCGGCAUGCAUUUUUUAUGCAUUUUAUACAGUAAACCAGUUACGACCUUCUUUGCAAUUUUUUGUUGCGAUUUGCCAAUUCCUUCCGAGGUCCUUAAUGUUUCUGCCUCAAGUAAUCGGGCAUAUAAGUUGCUGUUUGUAUUUUGUACAAUCAUGUUUGUGUUUUAGAUCUUUUGUUAUGGAACUAGUCCAAUUUAUGAACUAAAUAUAUUUUAUGGUGAUUUUUUCAAACGUAUUCUUAAACUUUGGUAGCGAAUAAAUUUCACAUUGAAAAUGUAAAAUUCCUAGAUAGUAGUCUGGAAGAAAAUUCAUCUUGCUUAAUUUGAGAUUUUUAUGAUAAAAGAAAAAAAGAUUUUUAUGAUAACAUGUUACCAACGUGAAAAUUGCACAUAAUAUUUGACCGGAAAAUUAAGGAGUUGGACAAGAUCGAGUAAAAGUGGUGUGUACUUCCGUACAA
This 1536-nucleotide long non-coding RNA is filed under the name Fragaria vesca (wild strawberry). RNAcentral describes it as "long non-coding RNA (FVES_LNC000975)". Lineage: Eukaryota; Viridiplantae; Streptophyta; Magnoliopsida; Rosales; Rosaceae. The record is from RNAcentral.